RNAcentral lists this long non-coding RNA (15810 nucleotides) under Cricetulus griseus (Chinese hamster). Its description in RNAcentral is "lncRNA (ENSCGRG00015033292.1)". The record is from RNAcentral. Lineage: Eukaryota; Metazoa; Chordata; Mammalia; Rodentia; Cricetidae.
CGAAGAAGAAACAGGAAGGGUCCCUUUUUUCCCCGUUCACCUCCUCCAGCGGCAGGAUGUGAGCCACCGGCAAGGAGGGAUGCCAAUAAGGCAUCUGAUAAGAUAAGUCUUAUAAAAUAUAUAGAUGUAUGAUAAUUGAGACUGAGCUAACAGAUAAGAAUCCUAGUCAUUGGCAAAGCAGCAUUGUACCUAAUACAAGUUUCUGUGUAUUCAUUUGGGCCUAACUCGGGCAGGCGGCUGGCUUAAAGCUCACACGUGGCUGUAGGGCUCAGGCGGCAUUUGGCAGAAAGAUUUAUUGCAGCAUUUCUCCUCUCUCCUCUCCUCCUAGCACUCUGCCCCCAUUCCUGCUUCCCCUCUAUCCAGUCCCCUUCUGAUUUUCCUCAGUCUCCACUACUCAGAAAAAAGCCUGGCACAUCAAGUUAAGGGAGGACCAAGCUCCUCCACUUGCAUCAAGGCUAGGCAAGGCAAUCCAGCAUGAGGAUGAGGGCCUGUUCCCAAAAGCCAGUUAGGCUCCAGGAUCAGGUGCUGGUCUCCCUGCUAGGACCUCUACAAAGUGACCAAGCUACACAAAUGUCACAUACAUGCUGAAGGCCUAGGUUGAGCCUUUGGAAGCUUCCUAUUUAUUAGUCCAGCGUACAUGUGCUCCCACAAGCUCAGACAGCUGCAGAACUACAUUUUAACUUUAGUUCUAAGAUUAAAAACAUAUAAGCCAAAGUGGAAUUAUUUUACUUACUUUUAGCAUUACUACAUUUGGAAGAUGGCAAUAGCCUUUAAAAAUUCCAGACAGAUUCCCAAAGGACAUUGUACUAUCGUGUGUGUGCAUAGAGUAAUCCUUCUUGUUAGCUAAUGCAAGCAAACAUCCUAUGGACUCUGCUAUAGGCUUUGUAGUAGAAGAUUAAAAAUAAUAAAAAUUAAAUUGGGUCUGUCUACUAGUUUUGGUAAAUUGUAGCGAUGGACCUUGUGUUGCUUUUCACUGGGAAUCUACCUUAGGGAUUACAUGAUGGUAUCAAAUAUCCAUAUAUUUGUAGAAAUUCCUCUUCAACAUUAACUGGAACCAUACCCUCAAUUAGUGCCUAUCAUCAAAUUAAGAAGCAAUGCUAGUUUCCACACUUCAGUUCUCAGCUCAAGGCUUUAACUAUUCCUUAUUAGGAGUAUUUAGUAAUCAGAAAACACAUGAUUAGUUCUCUGGUCAAUUUGCUAGGCUCUAGGGUUAGUUUGAUUUGAUUUCAAUGAGUAUGUAAUAGAUGUAGGUCAUUUAAGUCUAAAGAAAACUAUGAAUCUAGUUUAGAAGUAUUACAAUUUGCUGUCACAUGGUCUGUAUUCAUAUUAGUACCUAUAUGUGUAUGUAGAUUUACAUUUUAUUUUAUGUUAUAUAAAAUUGUGAACAUGAUUAAUUCAGAAUUCAUACCAAAUUGUCAAAUUUUGUAAUCAAAGUUUUAAAAAUAUUUAUUACAAGCUUCAAACUCUUUACCAAAAGUCAUUAUAAUAUAUAUGCCCUUAAAACAAAAUCAACAAAAUCUUACUCUUUUUUAAUUAUGCAGUUUUAUAUUAUUAUUUUUAAAUAUUAUUGAUAUGUGUAGCUGUGUGUUAAAAGUAAAUGCAGUUGCGUGCAAUAAAGCUUAUUCCUUUGAUUUUAUUUUGCUUUUAAUAAAGGGUACAAUUGUCUAUUGAUUACAUAUAUUUACUAUAACAUACAAGUCAUUAAGUGAAAGCAAAUAACUUGCUUUUAAAUUGGCUUAUGCCAAUUUCAACAGAAUUACAUCCAUCUACAUAUUAGAGAAGCCUGACAUAUUAUACAUUUAUAGCAAAUAAAUUGUACAUAACAUUGUAUAAUGAUUUUUUUUCCAAAUGAUUUAUCUAUAAUAAUCCAUUUCAUAGGGAAAAAACUCAUUGAACAUAAAAAGCAGAUGCUUGGACUAUCUUUAGGGAAAUGACCAUUUCAUCACAGUUAAAAAGUGUAUUCUUUGGAGGUGUAAAUGGGUAUAAGAUCUCCUUUUAUGUUUUGGACCUUGAUACUAUGAUGUGGUAGGCCACCCUCCCACUGUUAGCCUUAAUAGGAUUAGUUUGGGUAUUAUCAAAAGAACAAUUAACACCUGCUGAUAUAAUCACAGAUGGUAUCAAAGAGUACAAGGAACUAAAUUUGAAGGGACAGUCAUCUAGAAAUUUUAUAUUGAGUGUACUAGUACAUAAAUGACCAAAAAAUUCAUAGGCAAUUUUCUAUGCAACUACUAGUCUACACUAUAGAAAGUGACAGAAAAUUACUAACCUGCCUGAAGAGUUUGGAUCCUGUUUUGUCCUCUAGUCAUAUUAAUUUGUGACUAUGGAUAUAUUAUUUAAAUUCUUUGAGUAUGGCCUUCAUUUUCUAAAAAAAUGAGACAAAUAAUUGCAUGGGUCUCUGAAAUGGUACUUUUAUUGUAUAGAUGGUUUAUGUAAGUGCGAAUAUCCUGCUCUUAUACAAAAAUGUAACUCGAUUUCUAGACUCUUCUUCUUAAUAAUUAUGGUUCUACAAGGAAGUUUAAUCAAUUUACUAAAGAAAUACUUUUCAUCUGAUAAGAGGAUAAUGUAGACAUAUUUAAAAUUACCUCAUUGCAAAGAAAAAUAACAGCUACUUAAAAACUGGGAAAACAUAUUAAUAAAGGAUUCUUAGAAAAUACGACAGAAAUGACCAGCAAAUGUGAAAAAAUAUCCCACUGCUAUCGAAACCACAGUGGUGGAUCACCUCAUUCCUGUUUGGAUAAAUACACUAAAAAUAAUAAUGUUUCACAUGGACAAGAAUGUAGAGAAAAGAGAAAUUCAGACACCAUUAGGCUAGAUAUAAACUAAUCUAAAUGCAGGGUUACCAUGUGACUCUCCCAUUCAUUGUGUGUAUAUUGAAAGACAUGUCAUCUACAUAUGGUCCAUGGAAGUGUUAUAGCAAUCUCCCUGGAAUAAUCACUCUGGUAUAUUUGUGAGUGAACAAAAAGAAAUGUAUUCACUGGUGUACCAAAGACAAGGUAGUUCCUGAAUGGCCUUGGUAUUAAGUCCAGCAUUUAUUCUCAUUUUAUUUUCUAAAACCAUAAUGUAAGAUUUGCAAGCAAGCAAGAUUUUACAGAAGUAUCUAUGGCAGUGAGGUGAGUUCUUUUUUUUUUUUUUAAAGCAUAUUGUAGUUGACAGUUGUAAGGUUUUGUGAUCAGGCUGUUUAAGGCAGUGACCUAUUGUAUUUUAGCUAAUUCUCCAGAGUGAUAUCAUUCUUGAAAAUGAUAAAUAAAUACAUUAAUUUCACUUUUGGAUCUUAUUCUACUCAAAUAUACAAAUUACAUAUAUUAUAAUGUACAUAUAUAUGUUUAUAUGUAUAAUGAAUAUACAUUAUGCACACAUAUACAUUUUAAUACUGUUUUUAGAGACAAAGGGCAUUAUGCUGACUACAAUAAGCUUAGCAGUAAAAGUCUAAUUGUACAAUUUCACUUAAAACCGUCUAAUGAAACAGAUAAGAGAAAUAUACUAACAACGAGGUGGAUGGGCCUAGGAGGAAGAAGAGUGAAGAAAAGAAAAUGGAAGUAAAGUUUCAAUUAGACAGAAUAACUACAGUAAUCUGUGACAUUGAUUGAAGACCACAAUUGAUAAUUAUAUAUCAUAUCCUUCAAAACCACCAAAAUAGAAUUUUAACAUUCUUGACACACACAGGCAUUCACAUACAUGCACACAGACACACAGAUACACAGCAACACUCACACUGAGACAUACAAACAGACAAAAAUACAAAGGCACACAUACUCUUAACACACACAUAAAGACACAUACAGACCCAUAAACACACAAAAAGAUAGACACAUAAACAUAUAAACACACACUCACACACACACACACACACACACACACACACACACACACACAGACACAGAUUCACAGAGACACAUGCACAUACAGACACGCAUAUAAAAACACAAACUCAUAUGGUAAGUUGCCUAGGUUAUAGCAUGCUAAUUAGUUUUCUGAAUUUCGGCAAAGUAUACAUUGCUUAAAACUUCAUAUAACUCUCCAUAAGUCCACACACUUACUUGUCAAUUUGAUCAGAUGUUCCAAAAAGGUGUUCUUCUUGAUGGGUCAAUUGGUACAAUUUUAAAUAAUAAAUUUAAGUUAUUAUGAUUGCUUAUUUUUUAUUUCUUUGGUUUUGAAGUGACAUUUUUCCUUUUUAGGUUACACCCAUUUAAAUAUCAGAGUUCAAAUAUUUAACACUAAAUUUCUGUUUUAAAAUGUUUUUUGCUGAUUUAUUGUGUUAGUUCACUAGCUUACUUGAUUCAGUUUCUUUUUUUUUCUUUUUUUUCUUUUUUUUUUUUUUUUUGGUUUUUUGAGACAGGGUUUCUCUGUAUAGCUUUGGAUCCUAUCCUGACACUUGCUCUGGAGACCAGGCUGGCCUCGAACUCACAGAGAUCCACCUGCCUCUGCCUCCAGAGUUCUGGGAUUAAAUGCUUGGGCCACCAAGGCCCAGCCACUUGAUUAAGUUUCUAAGGUUAUAACAAAAUUUUUUUGUUUGAGUAUAUUACCUCAAACUAAUUUAUGUUUAGGGUCAUGUGAGAAUUAUACAGUAAAUUGGGGAUAUUGGGAAUUUUUCUGAGUUCUGAUAUAUUACUUUGCAUAGACAUUAUUUGUUUGUAUCUUAAUGUUUAUAGAAUUUAACAACAUCAAGUUAAGGAAUAGAAUGGAGAAAAUGGAAUAUUUUUCUACUUUUUAUUUUAUUAUAUAUCUUAUUGAUGAUCAUCUUUGGAAAUGCACAUUUGUUUUGAAAAACCUAAAAGUAAAACCUAUAGAAAUACCAAGUAAAUUGUCUUACUUGGUAUCAGUAAUAUUGUAUACGUUCUUAACAAUAAUCACUCAGUGCAUAUCUACACUAAUAUUAAAAAUAAAGCAUUCGGUAAAGGUAGCUACAAUCUAUAUACAAUUACAAUAAGUAUGACAAUUUUUUCCAAACUGACCAAAUUAAAAAAAAAUGCCAUGACAGGUAGAAUCAAUUCUUUUGGUAAAACAGCUACUAUUGAAGACAGAAAACACUCCAUAAACUUCAAAUGAUCUUGAAGUUCUAAAAUGGAAUAUCAGGUAUAUUUACUGUUAUUAUAUUGAUUAGGUUCUGUCAAAAGUCCAGAAGGAUUCAACAAUAAAUAGAAGUGUUUAUCUAAUGUAAUGAUAUGCAAAAAUUCAAUGAUCUGUACUCUCUUUAGUAUGAUGUGAAUCUCCAAAACACAAUAAAAUCGCCAAAAACAGAGGACAGGAAACAUUAAAAAUACAGAAAAAGAGAAUUACGUGUGAAGAUAGAGAGUAUGCAGAAGCUUUGUGCACUAUUUGUGUAAAUAUUAAAAAUGUAAGUUCAUUGUGGGAUCAAUAUUUCGCUUCUUAAAUAAUUUAAAAUGGGGAUUGUGUAUAAUGCAGUUCCUUACUUCCAGGUAUAGGUAAAAGAUAUCUAAGGAGAUGGCCAUGAAGAAAUGUAUAGCCAUAAUUAAAGCAGCAAGAUUCAUAAUAGUCUAUACAUAACACCAACCCCAGUAUCAUCAAUGAUAAAUGGACAUGCAAAACAACUGUUAAAGAUAAGGGAAAGUAUUCAGUCUUAAAAUAAAAAAAAAAAAAAAAACACUUAAUCCUGCUAUAGCAUGGAUGGAAUUUGUAGAGAGUAUUCUAGUAAAAUAAGCCUGGCAUAAAACAACAAAUAUAUGAUUUCAUCUGCAUAUAGUAGCUAGACUACUCGGAUUCAUAAAACACAAAAGCAGUACCAUGUUUGGCAGAGGCUUGGGAGGGGAAAAAUGAAGAAUCAUGGUUUAAUGAAGAUGGAGAUUUAGCUUUUUAAACCCAAAAGAAUUUUGUAGCCAGAUGGUGACCAUGCUUCCAUAGACAUAUAGUAUCUUUAAUAUUGCUGACAUACACCCUUAAAAUGAUUUAGAGUAAACUUGUUUCUUUUGAUAUAAGCUUAGUUUAAAAUAACCAUCACAUAACCAUAAAGUGAGAGCAUUGCACAUAGUCGUGUACUGUCUGACUCUUGAGAUGAAAACAUUCAAUUAUUCUUGACACUGUUAAGCCUCCCAAAGCACAUCUCCUAGUCUCUAGGAAAACUUUGCAGGACCUAUUUUUGUAGGAUAAUGUGCAUUUAAUUAGAAAAGACUUUAUCUUAGACUACAGGGCAGCAUCUUGUACAGGUGUCUUCAGGUUGGCUUGUACACCAUGAGAACAUCAUUUUGGGAAAGCUAAGCCAGCCUCUUAUAAUGUGUCAGUGGUCCCCACCUUUCCUCCUUCAGUACACCUACCUCACUCUUUUCGUGUCUCCAUCCUUACAUAUCUAAAUAUCUCCUUGUUUUCCUUUUGCUUAGAAUAUAAAUCUUUGGACGAUAGGCAGCAAUGGGAAUGCUGAUAACGUCCAGGGGAAGCUGGAAAAGGGAAGGACAAUAGGUGAACAUUCUAUCCCUCAUCACUGUCUCUUUAGCACUACGAAGUGAUGUCUAAUUUGAAGAGGCAGAUUUCCUAAUCAGCUACGAUAAAAUAUGUUAGAAGUUCGGCGUUCACAAUUAACCAUGGUGCGUGACUUUCCUUGAUUUUCAAUUUGAAAUUUGCUCCUGCAAAUUAUAAUCAGUAUAAAUGGCAAGAACCCUGCCAGAAAAGAUACAUUUAAAUUACUAUCUCUCUAAAAUUCCAAUAAACUAACCUUUUAGUGGAGUGCAUAUAAAACUGUCGCUGAAUUCUGAAAAGUAAUGUCAAAUUUAAUCAACGAAUUGUUCCAAACACUGUUCAAUUUAUUAAGACAUGGAAGUUAUAUGGUUAGCACCUAUCUUAUAUUUUAGAUGCAUCAGAAUCAGAAGGAAAAUAUUCCUUGUUUGCUUGAAUAGAAUGAAAUGGAAAAGUUGCAUGGGGUGUAUGCUUGUAAUCUCAUUACUUGGACAGUUGAGGCAGGAAGAAUUCGAAUUAAGCUAGUCUAGGAAACACAGUGAGGUUUCCUCAAAAUAAAAACAAGGAAAAGAAGGAGGAAAAGGAAGAAGAUGAGGAGAAACAAGGGAGACUUCAGCAGGGACCACAAGAAAUAGAAAGUUUAUAAGAAUUUUUAAGAGUAUUCUUCCAGAUCUUUGGAAAAUAAUAUUUCAAAUUAAAUAGUACUAUAUUUAACUACUAUUUAGUCCAUUCCUCCUGAAUGUUUACAUAUUGUAUGAAUUUAUAGAAUUAAGAAAAUAAUUUUAAAAAUAACAUUCAACAUUUUUCAACUCAGAGAUUACCAGAAAUACAGAAACAAAAUAUAAUCUAUGAUGUAACAAAAACACUAAUAAAUUUAAUACAACCCAGAAAUGAGAAAGUAAUGAUUAACAGGUAUAAAGUCUUUGUAACUGAAUGCCACAUGUCUAAAAUGUCAACAAGAAUAUAGAACAUGUACACAAUUCAAGCUUCCAGGGAUAAAGACUAAAGCAUUUAGUUGAAAUGCAUGAACUUGAUUAGUCUAAUGAUAAGCAACGAAAGAACUAGAAGAAAAUAUCAUUGGACUUGAAGAUAUAAUAGAAGCUAUGUCAAAUAAAUAACAGAAUGUUUUUUAAUUAGGUGAAAGAACUUUACAGAUCUAUGUGACAAUUCAAAUGGUAUAGCUACAUACAUGAAUAUGAAAAACUAUAUGAACAAUUAUAUUAUCAAAUUCAUUAAAGGAAGUAAAUCAUAUGAGAUGAUGGAUUUGAAAAAGAGGGCAUGAAACAGAGAGACAAAUAUGUGGCUGACAUUUGACAUCUCCAAAGCAUCAAAAAAUGUUAUUUGCAGAGCUGGGACCUUAUACAUAGUAAAAUUAUCAUUUUAAAAAUACAAGGUUGAUCAAGUAAAGAGAUUUUUAAGAAAUACAAAACCUGAAAUAAUUCAUCAUCAACACACCAAUGACUCCUAAAGGGGAUAUGCAUGAUGGUAGCCCAAACCCACAACCUUAGCUCUUUGAAGGCUAGGCUACACAGCCUGAAUUUAAUACAGUGAAUAGUUACAUGAAGAUACUGUAGUGAUGACAUUUAAGUUAAUUUUCUACAGUGGUACUUGCAUAUACAUUGGAUUCUAUGAGCUCUUUGUAGAGGUUUCUGUGUGCUCUAUAAUUAAAUUAUGAAGAUUUUAGUCUACUCUGUGGCUUAAGCUAAGCUAGAUGCAACUGAAGGGAAAGUAGGAACUAGAGCUAGUUAUUUAUUUACCGAUGAUGAACUGAAAUCCAUGAAGUGUGUAUAGUGCAUAUUCAAGCAUUAUAAAAUAAUCCUGCAAAACAAUAGUAGUAUGGUACCAGACAGCAAAUGAAAUAGUGUGGCUAUUAUAUACUGAACAUCAAGUUUAGUUUUAUCUAAAGUUGUGUUAAUAGAGGUGGAGAAAUGGAAAGGAACAGAAAACAAAUCAAAAUGAAAAAGCUUGAAAAAUGUUUAACUUUAAACUUUUUCAACAACUUCACAGUUACAAAGAUUGUAGUGAAAACAAAACAAUUAAAUCCACAAUUUCCCUUUAAUGUUAAAUUAACAUUUAAAAAUGAGGGAAAUAGUUUUGUCAAUUUAAAAAUAAAAUCCAUAAGAAUUAAUAUUAUAGCAUAUUAGAUAAUACUAAAAUAUAUACAGGUACUUAUUUAAUGAAUGUGUUAAGAUAUAAAUUCAACCAAUAAAUUCUUUUUAAAGAUAAUUUAAGUGAGUGUGUGUGUGUGUGUGUGUGUGUGUGUGUGUGUGUGUGUGUGUGUGCCUGCAUGAGUUGUAUACCAUGUACAUACAGAUGCUAGCUCCACCCAGAAGAGGGUAUUAUAUUCCAUGUAGCUGGAAUUAUAGAAAGAUGAGAAACACCAAAUCAGUGUAUUAGGAACUAAACCCAGUCCUCUGUGAGACUCUCAAACAGCUCAAUUCAUUGUAAGUUGAAGUAAAAUGAAGAACAAAAUUUAUGUUUUUGAUGUUUCAGUUCAUUGAAAGAAAUAUCACAAGAAAAUCGCAUCUUAAAUCGUUCUUACAUAUACUUCAGUGUAACUAACUUAAUAAGAAAAAAUAUAAUGUUCACACAAGUUAGUGUGAUCCAAUGUAUUCACUGUGAAGCACACACUGUUCAAAAUGUCACCCUAACUGACUGCUGAGAGAAUACCCAUUUCUGUUUAUGUCAGAGGCAACAACCAUCCAGAAAAAUGAUUUUAAGUAUAUCAUAACUAUCACAAAGUGUGCUAAUUUAUUUUCAGUUUUCAUACUUGGAGAGAAUUGCUAACCACUCUAUAAAAGGAUUAAACAUCAUGUCACUUGAAAAUGUUACAUUGAUAGAAAUAGAAUUCAGAUGUAUGUAGCAUUUAAGGAUACCUUCUGAAACAUUUAGUUCAAAUCUGUAGACCAAUCCCACUUACUAAGGUCCCUAGUGUUACAGAUGAAGGGUCAGCUGAAUUACAAUCCUCUUGGGAAGAUUAAUACUAUCUCCAAAGUGUUACGUAAGUAAUGGGUAUGUAGCUUAGUGACAGAGUACUUGCAUAGUACCUGCAUGGCCCUGGGUACUACUCCCAGCAUCUCAAAAUAAUGUGUUGUCUUAAGUUUAAUUGUAAUUUCCUUGAGCCUUAUCCACACUCUAUAGAUUUUUAUUGAUAUUUAUAAGCUAACAGUAUCCUUUAUUAGAAUAAGAACAAACAUAUCAAAACAUCAAUUAUAAAGGAAGCAUAAACUUCUUUAUUCUCAACUGUUAUGCUCUUCCUUUGACUGAUUAGAAAGUUUUGGAAAGUUCUUGUAAAUAUUUAAAGGGAUUGCUUAAACCUAGCUUCCAAGAGUAAGUCUCCCUAUAUGUGGAGGCAGAACAGACACUUCAGUCCAUAAGAGACAAGACUGCUAUGACUGCUGCAAAGCAGGACACUGGGCUGGUCUGAACAGGAUGCUGGAAUACUUGAACACACACAGCUUGGAAGUGAUUGUUCUCCAAGUGAAAGUUGAUUAACAAUGCAACCCCCCUACCACCACAGCCACUUACCCUUGCUCUCUGAGACAAUGUCCACAUUGUGUUGUAAAUUGCUGAAAUCCUGGGCCUAUUGCUCCUUCCUCAUCCUCCUUCCUAAGAAAGUGGUAUUUCUCCACCAGCUAUUGGCCACACCCACUCUUGAUAGGCCCCAACAGCCUUGGACUAGCAAAGCCUACAAUUGAUAGUAAUUUGGACAGGCACAAAUUUGAGAACUGCUGCUUCCAAGCAGGGAACAAAAGAGGAAUAAGCUAAAGUGAGUAGGAUUCUAGAUCAAGAAUUUCAGUGUCACAAAUACUAGCUAGGAACUUGUAAGAGAGCUGGAGGGUGAGUCUCAGUCAGUAAAGCUGUUGAUCUGCAAACAGGACUUCAGCUCAGUCCCAAAAGCCCACAUAGAAUGAUGGGCAUGGAGGUGUGCUUAUCUUCACAGUACAAGUGAGGUACACAAAAGUGAAUCCCUGAUGCUUCCUGCACAGUCAUCGUAGGCUUCCUGGUGAGUUGAGGACAGUGAGAGACCAUAUCUCAUAAUACAAAUAAAUGGAGGCAGUAUCUCUAGAAAAAGACAAAAUGUUGACCUCUGCCUCCACAGAAGUGUACACACACAAAGGAAUCUAUGUACAACAUCCAGACACACUUCUGCCCACAAAGGAACUCUUGAGGAAGUAUAAGAUCAGAUAUCAUCUUUCUUUACCUUUUUCCUAUUUACAAAAUGUAGAUAUGAUGUAUGUAUGUAUUGUUGAAGUUAUUUGGGGUAUACAAAUAAUCGUGAUGUUAUUUUAAUAACAUACUCUGGUAGGUACAAAAUCAUGGCUGUCAAAAGUCAGCUGUUAUGAACAGCAGUAUCUAGAACCAGUAGUUUUCUUAAAUAAGAAAAUAAUUGUGUUGCAUAAACAGUUAACCUUCCCUAAGGAUUCAGUCAAGUUCUCUAUCUCCAGUUCUUUCAGAUCUGUCCUCAAACAGCAAACAUUUGGAAGGUGACUGACACAUCAGUAGGAUGGCAAAUAAUUGAUUCCUUUGUUUAAUUUCUCCAUGUUAAAAUGUUAGCCAUACCUAAGUAAACUCAUCACAAACAUUUCGUGCAAGACCUUUUAAGACUCCAGCUGAAGUGAUGAAAAUAGUGGCAAGAAAAUCUACACAAAGUGAGUUUAGACCAAAACAGUUAAGUGUGUAUGUAUUGCAUCUCAGAGAAUGAGAAGAAGGAUGUUUGAAAUUGUAAGCAUUUAGAGAAAACUGACUCCUGAAGGGAACUUAUUUAUUAAGGGUACACAUUUAUGUUUAAGACUAUCCUAAAGUGUGUUUCUGAAUAGUUUUCUGUUCCCCAGGAGCCCAUAUUUAAAAUGUCUGUGCACUUUAGAUGCUCUAUUAUUUAGACCUAGUUGAAACACAUCCUGUUUUCCUCUUGAAUUUCUUUAAGUCACACUGCGGGCUGUUAAAGCCUCAGUGUAACUCCCUGGGCAGAGAGAGGGGACUUGGAGCUAGAGUUUUCCAAAGGAGCUGUCAUGAUCUGUUGACUCAAUGAUCCGUUAAUGACACCUGAAGGCACACAGCAGAGGCUACCCAGCUUGGAGCUGCUCAGAGAUGGCUGCUGAGGAUACAGGUGCACUGCAAGGAACACCCAAAUCAUCCAUUAAGAUUGCUUUUAUUAGUGGCUUCUGCUUACAAAACAGGGCUCUGGGGGAGCAUGAUUCAGUGUAGCAAAACCCCAACAGCUCAGAAGAGUCACACUGCUAAGGACCAGCUGAAUCUUGUUAUUAAAAGAAAAGAAAGGAAAGAAUAUCGCUGUUUUGACUUUCACAGGUUCAUAUAUCGUGUUUUAAGAACAAUGGUUUCCCCCAUCCACCCUCACUGCUUAUUCUAACCAUAAAAUGUGUUAAAGAAAAUCACUUCUUGGUCUCUUCUCAUAGUAAACUAAGAUAAAUUUUGGUUUGCUGAAAAAGUCAUCGAUACAUAGGCAUAGCUCUAAAAAGAUUAACAAGCUGUCAAUGCAAGCAGUGGUAAUGAGAGAUAAAUUAAAAUGAGAGAUAAAAUAAAAAAUCUUUUAAUUCAGUUGAUAGAGCUCUAUUCAGCUCACAAGGGACAUGGUGCUUAUAUACACUUCUGCCCUAGCUUUAUAAGAGGUUAAACAAAACAGAAUGCUUUUAUCAGUCAUCUAAGGGCUUUAAAAUAAUAUUUCACUCUUAUUUUAGUUGAAGAAUAAUGCUAAUAUAUGCUCAACCAUUCUAACUCAACCUAGGAUUGUGUUUAUGGAAUUGCUCUCCCUGGAAGUGUUGUUAUGUUUGUCUAUUGGAGAACAUUCUUUGUCGCUUCCUUUGGACAAACACUGAUUAAAGUUUACCAGACUAAAGCAACAUGUAAUAGUUAUUUCUUUUUUAAAUUCUGUUUUAAUUUUUUACUAUUUUUACAUUCCAAACCCAGUAUUUCCCCCCACCUCUUAUUCUCCCUCCUCCCUACCUCCUCCCAUUCCAUGUCCUCAUCUACUUCUCAGAGAUGAUAAUGCCUCCCUUGGGGAGUCACUAAAGACUGGGAUACCAAGUUGAAGCAGGACCAAGCCCCUCCCCACGAAUCAAACUGAACAAUUUAUUCCAUUACAAGAUUUGUUUAUCCUGUAUACAAUGUUCUGCCUGCAUGCCAGAAGAAGUCAUCAGAUCUCAUUACAGAUGGUUGUGACCCACAAUGUGGUUGCUGGGAAUCAAACUCAGGACUUGGGGAAGAGUAGCCAGUGCCCUUGACUUCUAUGCCAUCUCUUCAUACCUACCACUGAGAUUUUAACUAUUUUCCCUUCCUGGUGCCCUCCAUUUAUUUCUCUCUUAGGGUCCUCAUUUUUACCUAGAUCUCCCACGUUCUUGGAGAACUAAGAUCAACAUACUAAAAUGCAAUCUACAGGUUCAAUGAAAUCUCCAUCAAAAUUCCAGCACAAUUCUUCACAGACCUCUAACAAACAAUGUUCAACUUCAUAUGGAAAAACAAACAAAAAAAAAAAAAAACAGGAUAACCAAAACAAUAUAAUAAAGGAACUUCUCGAGGCAUCACCAUCACUGACUUCAAACUCUACAAUAGAGCUAUAGUAAUGAAAACAGCUUGCUAUUGGCGUAAAAACAGACACGUGGAUCAAUAGAAUUAAAUUGAAGACCCCGACAUUAGUCGACAUACCUAUCAUACCUAUGAACACCCAGUUUUUGACAAAGAAGCCAAAGCUGUACAAUGGAAAAAAAAACCAUCUUUAACAAAUGGUACUGGCAUAACUGGAAGUCCACCUGAAGAAGAAUGCUUGUUAUUUCUUAUACACAUCGGCUUGGCAUUUUACCAUUCCUUAUUCCCUGCCUGAAUUGCUCUUGCUCAUUUAAAAUUACAUGGACUGUCGAUGUAAUUUUAUUAAGUUGCAUGUGGGAAUCUCCUAACAAACUAAAAUGAAUUUAUACCAUAGAUUUAAUUUAGUUUAUUAAAGAGAGACCAACUAAGAUGGUGAAACUUAAUUGACCCAGUAUUUAUAGAACCAAAAGAUGUCUAGGUGUUGAAGUGGUGAUGACAGAAUAAAGGAUGCACUCCAAAACAGGAACUCUGACCAGAUAAAGCAUUCUACAAGUUAACAUGGAAUGUUUGCUCCUGGUGUAUAAAUAAAAGUAGAUAGCAUCUCAAGAGAAGUUGCUUAUUCCAGGAGAAUGAAAUAAUGCACAAUUUGUAGGGUCCACUGCUGAUUUCGCAGAAUAACACACUGUAGGGACACACAGUCAUCAUUUUGCUUAUUUCUUAUCCAUCUGUCAAGGUCAAUUUCCAUGCACUCUCCACUGAAGUCUUUAUAUGCCCCCAGCUGGAAGUCAUUUCUUCAGCCAAGGAGAGCUGGUAGCACAUGUAAUAUGUUUCAAUAUGAAGUUGGUGAGUGAAUAAUUGUAUUCUGCCACUCUGGGGGCAUAUCACUCCUUGAGCAGAAAUGGCUAAUUAAGAACAUAAUUAAAUUUUAAAUUAUAGCUGGAGAAAUUACACUGCAUAAGAGAGAUAAAUUAAGAUACAUAAUGGUGCAGUUACCAGGUAUAUGUUCUUAAAAUGAGUAAAUGUGCUGUGAGAAAUAAUUGAUUUACAAAGUAUGCUUCCUUUCGACUUUAUAUUCCUCUUUUAAUCCUGAUGCUCUUUCUUUAGACUCCACAUAGUGCAGUAUUGUCUCUGCAAACACUUUUCAUGCUGCUAUUGUUCAGCAGAACUGGAACAUCAUCUCUAAAAUUGCCAUUUGAUCACUAUCCUCAUCAGACCAUGCAUUGCCUCUCUCAAAUGAAAGCAUGGGACUUUAUGGAUUCUAAGGAAGAGUUUUGUGACUUUCCAUGCAAUUAUUCCCAUGUAGAAAAAUGUAACAUUACUUUUAAAUUGGCUGAGCAUGUUGUAUGUUUUUAUCUUGUAGAAUAUGAUGCUUUGAACUGCAUGCAUAUUACAGAGUAGAUACAUACAGCCUAUUUAUGUAUUUAUUCUCACUGUUACAAAUUUUUUAUCAGAAUACCUAAUGCUCACUUUGAAUUUCCUUCCCCCAAAACACCACACUUUGUCAUCUCUAGCUCUGGUCAACUUUCUUCAUAAUGAAUGUCUUGAACUCUUUUCUUCUUAGUGUAGAAUGAUGCUGAACUGAAUAUAAGGCAUUUUCUGUGUCUAUUGACAUGGCUAUAUUAUUCUUACUCUUUAUCUGUUAAUGUGAUAUAUCUUAAGAAUUGACUUGCCUAUGUUGAAGUCUGCUGUAAUCCUUGAAAUAAAACCUACAUGUUAAUGGUUAAUGACUUCCAUGAUAUUCUUUCACAUUUGAUUUUCUUCCAUUGUGUCAAGAAUUUUUAAAUCUAUGUUCACACUUAUGUUGGUUUAUAACUUAUUGAUUUGUUACAUCUUUGUCUUAUUUUGGUAACAAACUGUUCUGUCUUCACAAAAGAAGUCUUUCACACUCCUCUCACCAGAACCUGUCCCUUUUGUCUUGUGGAAGUUUGAAAAUUGUUAUUACAAUUUUGCUAAAGAUGACUGGAGUGAUGGCUCCUUUUCUGAUCUUCCAGAGGAUGUCACAUGUCAGGUCACAAGGGUGUGUUACUCUAGUCCCAGUGUACCUGAUACACUCUACUGGUCAUUUUGGUCACUGAACAUAUGUGGUGUCCAUUACAUAUGCAGCCAAAACACCCAUACACAUAAAAUAAAAUGAAUAAAAUUUUGUUAAAAUUCAACACAUAGUCAUUCAGGUGGGGCUUUUCUUCAAUGGAUAAUGUUAUUUUUUGUACUCAAUCUCAUUGUUAUAGGUCUGUCCUGAUUGGUAUGUGUUCCCAUAUUCAGUGUUGGCAGUCAUAUCUUUCCUUUCUGAAAAGUUAUCCAUUUCACCUAAGUUCUUCAGUUUGUUUAACUGUGAUAAUGUAGAUUUUCAUAAUGCUAAUCCAUAGAAGUCAUUUAUUUUCACUCACAACACAAUACCUUGUGAAUGUUAGAUAAAUAUUCUACUGUUUACGUAGAAUCCCUAAGAAUUCUACUCAUUAUUUGUAAUUCUACUGAUUGGUUAUAGAUUGCUAUUUUCUUUGAUUUUAUUUAUUUUGGCAAUGUCUAUUUGUUUUCAGUCCAAUAUUUAAUCUUAUCAUUUCAAAUAGCCUACACUUUGUUGCAUCAGUUGCUCAAUAUUUCAUUUAUGUUUUCUCUGGUAUCUGUUAUUUCUUUCAUUUUUGACAUGUUUGGUUUCUUCUUAUUUUCUAAGUCCUUGAAAUGAACAAUUAGGUCAUUUGAGAUUAUCAUAUUUUCUUUAUUUGUAGGCAUUUUUUCUGGUAAGCUUUUAGUCAACUUGACACAAACUAUAGUCACCUGGAGGAAAGAUAUAUAAAUGGAGUAAUUGCCUUCUUCAGAUUGGACUGUGAUUAUUCCUGUGUGGCUUUUUAUCUAUUAAUGUGG